This 487-nucleotide ribosomal RNA is filed under the name Neofabraea sp. FL-2010p. Its description in RNAcentral is "eukaryotic LSU rRNA". The stretch from base 180 to 333 matches the Rfam family "5.8S ribosomal RNA". Lineage: Eukaryota; Fungi; Ascomycota; Leotiomycetes; Helotiales; Dermateaceae. The record is from RNAcentral.
GAACCUGCGGAGGGAUCAUUACAGAGUUCAUAACCUUCGGGGUUGAUCUCCCCAUCGUGUCAUCACACAUAUGUUGCUUUGGCGGGCCCGCCUAGCCCACCGGCUCCGGCUGGUGAGCGACCGCCAGAGGACCCCAAACUCUGAAAAUUAGAGUCGUAUGAGUAGUAUAUAAUAGUUAAAACUUUCAACAACGGAUCUCUUGGUUCAGGCAUCGAUGAAGAACGCAGCGAAAUGCGAUAAGUAAUGUGAAUUGCAGAAUUCAGUGAAUCAUCGAAUCUUUGAACGCACAUUGCGGCCCUUGGUAUUAAGAGGGGCAUGCCUGUAAGAGUGUCAUUACAACCAUCAAGCUGUGGUCGGUAAAGGGCGGACCCGGGGACGGGGUGCCCUAAAAUCAGUGGCGGUACCGUGUGGCUGUAAGGGUAGUAAAUCUCUCAAUAAGGAUGCCCGGUGGAUGCUGGCCAGAACCCCCCAUUUUGCCAGGUUACCU